CAGCAGCCGCGGUAAUACAGAGGGUGCGAGCGUUAAUCGGAUUUACUGGGCGUAAAGCGUGCGUAGGCGGCUUUUUAAGUCGGAUGUGAAAUCCCUGAGCUUAACUUAGGAAUUGCAUUCGAUACUGGGAAGCUAGAGUAUGGGAGAGGAUGGUAGAAUUCCAGGUGUAGCGGUGAAAUGCGUAGAGAUAUGGAGGAAUACCGAUGGCGAAGGCAGCCAUCUGGCCUAAUACUGACGCUGAGGUACGAAAGCAUGGGGAGCAAACAGGAUUAGAUACCCCCGUAGUCCCUGUCUCUUAUAA
This 301-nucleotide ribosomal RNA is filed under the name uncultured bacterium. RNAcentral's name for it is "partial 16S ribosomal RNA". It matches the Rfam family "Bacterial small subunit ribosomal RNA", at positions 509 to 809 of the family's 1533-position model. The record is from RNAcentral.